CUUCAGGGCGAGGCGCAAUUCCUCACCGGCGGUACAGCCCGCGAACCUGGCAACAGGCCGAUUCGGUGCAAUUCCGAAGCCGACAGUAUAGUCUGGAUGGAAGAAGU
This 107-nucleotide non-coding RNA is filed under the name bovine gut metagenome. RNAcentral describes it as "FMN riboswitch (RFN element)". It matches the Rfam family "FMN riboswitch aptamer (RFN element)". Rfam says of the family: The RFN element is a highly conserved domain that is found frequently in the 5'-untranslated regions of prokaryotic mRNAs that encode for flavin mononucleotide (FMN) biosynthesis and transport proteins. This element is a metabolite-dependent riboswitch that directly binds FMN in the absence of proteins. In Bacillus subtilis, the riboswitch most likely controls gene expression by causing premature transcription termination within the 5' untranslated region of the ribDEAHT operon and precluding access to the ribosome-binding site of ypaA mRNA. The record is from RNAcentral.